RNAcentral lists this long non-coding RNA (216 nucleotides) under Ananas comosus (pineapple). RNAcentral's name for it is "long non-coding RNA (ACOM_LNC032782)". Lineage: Eukaryota; Viridiplantae; Streptophyta; Magnoliopsida; Poales; Bromeliaceae. The record is from RNAcentral.
CGAGGAGAAUAUUUGACCGGGUCAAGGGUCGGGACUUUCGGCCACCAACAGGGGUGAAUCUUAUUCCCAAGUGAAUCUAAUAUUACCAACUAGAUUAUUUAGUGUGUUUAGCCAAACACCGUCAUUUAUUUUUAUUACUAUUGGAUUACAAGGAAUCUUUAAAAGAUAGCGCGAACCAAACGCAACCGAAAAGUAAUUAAAGGAUUAUUGGUAAAU